AAACCGUAACUGAAAAAAGCGAUUUUAAACCGCGAGAGGUAGAUCUGAAACAAAUUAUGACACUUACAGCUGCUUGAAGUCGCAGCCUCGCAGUUAGGGAACACAUUCGCCGACUCGAUCUGAAAUUGAGAGCUGCUUGCAGUCGCAGCAGCAUUGCAGCCAUCGUAGCAAGUGGAGUAGGCACUGUCGCAGGGGCUGGAGCAGCUAUAGCAGUCUCUUGCUGACAAGGGACGGAAUUCAACUGAACCAAAAUGAUUUCGACCCGUUGAAUUGUAGUCUGCUAACUGAUCUGUAAGAGAGAGAGAGAAA
Long non-coding RNA from Macadamia integrifolia, 309 nucleotides. RefSeq lists it as uncharacterized. The record is from RefSeq and is a predicted model, not a curated record. The transcript has 3 exons. NCBI's taxonomy places the organism in Eukaryota, Viridiplantae, Streptophyta, Magnoliopsida, Proteales, Proteaceae.